Long non-coding RNA from Canis lupus familiaris (dog), 2729 nucleotides. RefSeq lists it as uncharacterized. The transcript is spliced from 2 exons. The record is from RefSeq and is a predicted model, not a curated record. NCBI's taxonomy places the organism in Eukaryota, Metazoa, Chordata, Mammalia, Carnivora, Canidae.
GCAAUUAGGAGGUUGGAAUCACUGAUCUCAUCUGAAACUAUAUUCUAUACUGCCACUUUGGGUCAUCCACGGGUUAACAUUUCCUCUGAACAUUCAAGCUCCUUCAAGUUAUUUAUUUAUGUUUUGUCUUCUCUUUUACAGGGUUGAGAAAAUGAAAGAAAAAUAACAUCCCCUUCCCCAAAAGCAUUCACAAUGGAUCUUUGGGAGGAAAUGAGCUUGUGAGCAUGCUUCCCUUAACGCCAAGAGGAGAGGAAGUGCACUUCCAUCCCAGCAGGUACUUCUUCUGCACAUGGAAACCCAAGGAGCCUCACAGCAGGGAAAUCGGGUGGCCUCUGUCCACGCUCCCACUGCUGAUCUAUUCAUUAUGAUCUGAAUUUAGCCUCUUCGCAAUGGAAGGAAGACAGUCUGUAAGGGGCCGAGGCUGGAAACCUUAUGAUGUGCUCCCAUUUUGCAUGUUCAUCACAAGCUAAAAUGAAAAAAGAGUUUCUUUCCUCAGUGACUUUGAAAAGAAUAGAGUGGUGAUUAACAGCAAUAUUUUUUUUAAUGAAACGCAACCCGUCAUCUCUGUCAUCUUCUGGCCAUCCUCGCUUGUACGCGCCUCCCUGACAAGAGGAAUAAUAAUGGUCAUACAUCACUGCUCUGCACGUCCAAUCAUCUAAAUCUUCCCUCGCUGCAGCCUCUGAGACUCAAUUACUUUAUUGACAUGCAAUCUUCAUAAGGGGAGAAAUAUUGUGCAUGUAAGGUCACUUGGUUAUGAAGACAUAUUAUCAUAUUAUCUGCAUGAGGGUUGCAGGGCUAAGACCUGACAGAGCUAAUUAUAAUGGUACAUGAUAGAAAGCUCAGUACACAUUAUUCGCUUCACUGCACUAAAGGUGAGGUAAGUCCAUGACAUCAUGGUUUUUUGAAAAAAUAAUGCAACUUAAGCUUGGAGGCUCUAACUCUUUUUUAACUCCCCGCAUUUUUACUUUUUGGUUCUCACAGACAAUGCAAGAACUAGUUAAUGGAGUCCUCAGAUUUAAGGGAAGGGAGAUGGCAGGCCCAUGUAGUGUGUGUGUGUGUGUGUGUGUGUGUGUGUGUGUGUGUGUACGUGUGUAAUUGUCUUGCUUACUCCCCAUCUAACACCAAGUUUCGGUCCAUUUCCUAGCAAGUCGAAUGAGAAUGACUCAAGGGAGGAAGGUAAAGGGAUACAAAUGGGUCAAUUUGAUAACAGAGUAAAGCUUCCCCUCACCCUCAAUUAACCCCUCUCAGAUCCUUGCCCCUUUCUUUCCCUUGGUCUCCCUGGCAGAGGCUUAUCACACUGAGACUUAGUGCUUCUGGGUAUGAUUUCUUUGUUCAGAUAUAUCAGGUUAUUUAAGUGUUCGCCAUCAGACUCCUGCUAGAAGCUUCAUAUAUGGUUAGUCAGUCCUUCACUUCUUUGCAUCCUCUGCCCAUUUGUCACCCCCAAAUGGGGGGUGAUCCUAGAAAUGGGUCACCCCAGGUUUAUCCCAGAUUGAGAGGCCAGAGAGAGGAGCCCUAGUGGCAAUUUUGCAAGAAGGGAGCAUCAAGGAGAGAAAUCUGGGUCGAGUUUCUGGGUCGUCCAGCCUUGCCACAGUUAACAUGGACCUGGAUGUAAAACUGGCAUAGAUUGGUCUGUGAUGAGUCAUCAUGAAGUCAAAAUCAAGUCAACCUCCAUGGAUGGGUUUGAGAUAGCAUCUGAACCUCAGCCCUGGACACAUGUUCUAAUUUCAGAGGGAUUUAUGAAUUUAUAUACAGGAAUAAAAAAGCCAUUAAGAGUAUCACAAUAAUCCAACAUAGGCUGGCUCCUAGGAUUAUCUCUCCCUCAGCAAAGAACUAAUUCAACAAAGGAGAAGAAAUGACUAAAGUCUUCUAAGCUCCAGAAACUGCCUUGGUCUUCUAAUAUGAGUGCUCUGGCUCCAACAUAAGAAGCACAGAGUAGAACAAAAAAUUGAGGUUACCCAAAUUCUCUCUUACUUAAUACUCUCAUAAUUCACAUUCCUCAAUUUCUGAAACAAAGUGGCUCAAAAAUAAUGAUGACAUUGGUAACAAAGCCACUCAGAGAUGUGGAUUUCUUUUUCUGAGUUGGAAAUUGUACAUAAUAUGAUGUUUAUAUUAAGUAAAUUUGAUCGUAACCCAGGUACAGUAGAAAUGGCAACUCUUUAGACACUAAAAUUUUAGAUUGGCUAUUUUGGAUUAGAUGGUCUCAUGCAUUGCAUUUCUAUGUCCAGCAUCUCAAAUGCAUUUUUGCAAUAGGGAAGCUCACAGUGUAUCCAUUUCCAAAAGUUGAUAUACUAAUUGAUAUAAAAUUGUAUAGUUGGCAGAAAAAGAAUUGGGCUAAGGUUUAAAAGAUUAAAUAUCUACUCUUGACUCAACCACCCAAAAUACAUCCCAUAGUUCCUUAGCCAAGGCAAAAUUUCACUUUACAUGCUGAAGAAAGUACUUGUGAGACACAGUAAAGUAUUCUGAAAAGACUAUGGUGUUGCCUAAUAAACUGCCUUGAAAAUCUGGCCACCAAUUUAUUAGCUUCAUGAUCUUGAGCAAAUUUUUUUGCCUCAAGCCUCAACUGCCCUUCUUUAAAAUGGGUAAUAAGUUGUUCACUUCAAAGGAUUAGUAUGGAAAUGAAAAUACACCUAGUAAAUGGCAGUUAUUGCUACCAUUUUGGUCUUAGUGUGUUUGAAACUGUUUUGCAGGUCAAUUAUGUAAAAAAAAAAAAAAAAAACAUGGAUUGUGAA